AUUUGAUGAGAGACCAUCCCGAGAAGAUAUGAUAUUGACUGUUGAUAUCAGCGAUUAUAUAUCAUCGCAUGAGGUUUUCUCGAUGGCACCUCAUACGAUGGUUCAGGAUGUCGGCGACGAUGGAUCACUUCACAUGCGGUCUUCUCCGUCGACACCUUCUGUGAUUAUUCCGCGGCCUGACGUUUCUGUGGCUGCGCCGAUUACGGAUCCCAUUAUGACGUCUAUUUCGACGUUAGAGG
This is a long non-coding RNA of Mangifera indica (mango), 239 nucleotides long. RefSeq lists it as uncharacterized. The record is from RefSeq and is a predicted model, not a curated record. NCBI's taxonomy places the organism in Eukaryota, Viridiplantae, Streptophyta, Magnoliopsida, Sapindales, Anacardiaceae. The transcript is spliced from 3 exons.